UAAUAAGUGUUUUAUGGCACUUUUAAAUCCAUAUCCACCUUGUGUGCAAUGUCAGUCGAUCUUCUUCAUGGAGAUCGACCAAACAUCAACCUUUAUCUUUUAACUCUUUGUCUUAAAAAUAUUAUGAAUAAACAAUUCAAAAUA
This 144-nucleotide unclassified non-coding RNA is filed under the name soil metagenome. Its description in RNAcentral is "partial internal transcribed spacer 1". The record is from RNAcentral.